RNAcentral lists this long non-coding RNA (1383 nucleotides) under Pogona vitticeps (central bearded dragon). Its description in RNAcentral is "lncRNA (ENSPVIG00000013655.1)". The record is from RNAcentral. Lineage: Eukaryota; Metazoa; Chordata; Lepidosauria; Squamata; Agamidae.
UUUGAGACUAAGCUUGGAAAGCAAGGAUGUCCAUCUUCUUCAUGAAUCUGCAACACAAAACAAAUGCAUUCAUUUUUGCUUUCAUAUAAUUUUAAAAGCCUUGGAACCUCUCUGCACAAUUUUGGCAAAUGCCAAAAUACACAGUAAUUAAUUGCACAGUUUCCUUUCUUUCAUUCUUUUUUUGCAGAUUAGUUGGCAAUUCCACUUGAAGUUACCAGCCAUUUUAAAAGUAAUUAUCUUCUUCAUAACAUGCACUUUUUAGAUUGCAUGACAAUGUUCUACUUCAAAGACAGAAAUAAUCACAUAAUUACCCCAUUGGGACAUACAGGAAGCUUCCUAGUCAUAUGUCUAUCAUUGGAGACUGCUAGUAAUUAGCUCUAGCCUAAGUGGUCAUUAAUAAGAGAUAUUGUAUAUUCCUAUUCAUCGGUACCAAAUAAUUACUGGCACUGUAUCUUUUUGCUAGCCUUCACUGUUGUAUGUAGUCCAUUAAAAAAAAACUAGGGAGAAUGCUUCACUUUCACUCCCAUCUGGAGAUGUAUUUGAUGCAGAUAAAGAAGACUAUAAUUAAAAUUUCAAGUGCACUAUGAAUAUGUGUUUUACUUUAACCCUGGUAAGCCAUAAAUAGAGGAAGACCUUCUCCUCUAGACAACAUGGUGAGAAAAGACCUCUGCUAGAGCAAUAGCUGUCGAAAAUACAAAGCUGAGAGCUGAUUUACAUUUUUCCUCCUCAAAUGGAUGUGUUGAGUCAUACUUAAGAAAUUGCUAUUCUGCAUUAAAGCUCGUCUUCCUAAUGGGCAUUUCAUCUAUUUCACAGCCCUCCACCCCAUGGUAGCUCCCAUGUUUGAUGUUUCGGCUCUCAACUGGAAAGAGAUAACAGAACAGCCAAACAUGUGAUGACAACAGCUUAUUUGCAAGAAAUGUGGAUCCCAUUAUGGAUCUCACCCACGGGAGACACUUCAUCAAGUGAUGAGCAAUCAAGCAAGCAGCUACAUGAGAGAAUGAACUUUCAUUGCGUAUAUGUCCAGCCGAAUUAAUAUGUCUCUCCACAUUUCAAGCCAUACAAUGGACAUACAGUAUAUAUUUUCUUUUCACUUCUGUUGAGCCUACUGGAUCCUGCUGACUGGCUUUCUUUUUCAGUAGGUGAAGCAAUGUGUGUUUAUCCCUGUAUGCUCUGAAGCAGCACAUUGAGGGGCAAAAGGAUACAUGUUUCUUUAGGAUGAGAGACAAAAUUGUAUAGUGGUGCCUCGCUUGAUGACAAUAAUCUGUUCCGUUCAAAUCGCUGUUAAGCGAAAUCGUCGUCAAACGAAAUUAAAAAACCCACUGAAACGCAUUGAAAACCGUUCAAUGCGUUCCAAUGGGUGAAAUACCUCAUUAUGCAGCAAAG